GAACCAGAGCUGUUUUUCCUAGUAUUCAAGUCCUUGAUCAUAUUCAAGGGUGGUAGGAGUGCUGCAUAUAAGAACUCUGUUCUGCAGAAAAGCAAUAGAACUGAAGGGUACCAGAAAGACGGGGCUGCAUUAUUCCGGGUUCAAGGGCUGAGACAUGAUUGCGCAAGAGCCGUUCAGGUUGAUCUGAUUGCAAGCUCGCUUAAUUCCUCGCACUGCUAUAUUUUGCAAGACGGUCCUUCUUUCUUUACCUGGACUGGAAGCCUUUCUUCACCAACUGAACAUGUUAUACUU
Long non-coding RNA from Lolium rigidum, 291 nucleotides. RefSeq lists it as uncharacterized. The transcript is spliced from 3 exons. The record is from RefSeq and is a predicted model, not a curated record. Lineage: Eukaryota; Viridiplantae; Streptophyta; Magnoliopsida; Poales; Poaceae.